This 295-nucleotide unclassified non-coding RNA is filed under the name uncultured bacterium. RNAcentral's name for it is "partial contains 16S ribosomal RNA and 16S-23S ribosomal RNA intergenic spacer region". It matches the Rfam family "Bacterial small subunit ribosomal RNA", at positions 69 to 358 of the family's 1533-position model. The record is from RNAcentral.
GGGCUUUGUAGCAAUACGGAGUCCUAGUGGCAAACGGGUGCGUAACACGUGGGUGACCUACCUCAAAGUGGGGAACAACAGACCGAAAGGUUUGCUAAUACCGCAUUAGCUUGGCGAUUCAUUUUGCCGAGUAAAGCCGCAAGGCGCUUUGAGAGGGGCCCGCGUCCCAUCAGGUAGUUGGUGAGGUAAUGGCCCACCAAGCCAAAGACGGGUAGCUGGUCUGAGAGGACGACCAGCCACACGGGGACUGAGAGACGGCCCCGAGCUCCUACGGGAGGCAGCAGUGGGAUCUNGG